AUAAACAAACAACAUAUAUUUAGAUUUCAAGUCACAAAAGGAGCGACCAGAAUUAUCAAAAUUGAAAGAUUUAUCUUUAAAUCAACGUAAAAAUUACUUUUUGAGCAAUGUCGACUUUGCUCGAUUAACGUCGUUAAUUGUUAUUUUUUAUUAAUAUACUAUCUUGUUCAUGCAAAUAUGUGUUUGUUAUACAGGCAAUAUGUGGGUUUGUACAGUCAAAUGUUUUCUUGGACAUACAAAUUUACGUAAAUGUAAAGGUGUACUUGUACACGCAAAGUUUUUAACCCUCUAUAUUGGUUUUGUGUAAUCUAAUCAGUUUUGACUGUAAUUACGUACUUAGUAUUUUUAUAUGAAAAAAAAUCAGGCAUUUUUGUAUUCUGUAAAUUCGAUGAAAAUGUGUGAAACUUGUAAUAAUCAUUACCAUUUACUACAUUAGAAAAUUCUGCAUUUUUUUGUAAAUGGUGAAUGGUGAUGGAUAUUGUGUAGAAUGUAAAUCCUAUUUACCCUGCUUAUCAAUUAAAAACAUGUACAGUACUGUACACUGCAUGUACUUGGACAUAAGCAUGUACUGUACAGCCAAUAUUUCCCGCAUAUUCUCAUUGUAUGUAAAUUCUAGCUACGUGGCAUUGUAAAUAAUAUUUGUUAACGAUUAAAAAUUUGUCCACAAAAAAAACGACGCUUUUGAUUAUGUAGAUUGAAGACUAGUGUUAAAUGGCUUAUGUACAUAAUGAAAUCUCUGACCAGUCAGGACAGUACAUGAGUACAUGACCUUGAAGUUACUGUACCCAGGAAAUUGUUUAAAUUUUUCCUGUUGAAUUCAGACUUAAGAUGGAAGUUGAUGCCAUGAAAAAUAAAUGUUUCUAUUGGAAUUAACAUAUUAAAUUUUUUUGAAAUGAAGUAAUUUUUUUUCUUUAUUCUUUGUUAUAUUUACCCGAUGCCACUAGUUGAUGUGAUGCCAUUUUGUUGCCUUUUUGGAUUAUUUUUUUUUGCAUUGUAUUAUAUUUUUCUUGUCAGGUUAAAUUCCAAAAGUUGCCAUAAGAUAAAAGCCAUGGUGAAUUUCCAAGGCAAAACGUAAGAUAAACAAUUUUACCAUAUUACAUGAUCUCAUGUAAUGAUUUAGUUUGUGUAAAAAUUCAUUAAUAUUUAAGAUUUUUUUUUUACCAUUACUUCCUAAAGAUAAAUUAAGCAUGGUACCUGAAAAUUUAUUAAUCUUAAACCUCUACGAACUAAAAGAUUUACAUUUUUCUCAAAACCUUUGAAAGGAAAACGUUCUUGCUUCUCAAAAACUGAUCGAAAUAACUGAUGAAUUAUUUUAAUUUUGGUACUUUAAAUGAUAUUUACAAACUAAGUAUCAUGUUUGAAAAUUAAAAUUUUAUAAUUGGCGUAAUUGACGUUUGAUGGCUUCAAAGAGACAUCCGAAUUAAGUAAGAAACCCAAUCUCCAAUGCGUUUAGUGUUGAAAUAUUUCUUGAAACGUAAUUUUAUAAUUUUUUAUUUUAUACAAGAUUAGUCUCAGAUAAUUUUUUUAUUUCUAGUCGUAUAAAAGGCAAACUGUAAGUCAUGAAAUUAUAUCAGUAUUUUUUAUCCAUUAAUUUUUAGUCAAAAUAAUUUAAUAAGUAAAAAAUUUACAUUAUGAACCUGUUACAAAAAUGAAGACAUUUCAAAACGAAAAUAUAUGCAUUUAAGUAAUUAAGUACCUUUUUAUAUUGUUUAUUACAUUGUAAGACAAUUUUAAUUAGUCUUUCACGAUGUAAAUAGAAAAGAUUUUCGGAAUUUCUAUAUGUUCAACAAAAAAGUUCCUAAAAAUCAGCCUACUAAGCUCGGACUAAGCUUGGCAAAAUGAUGUACUUUCUCCAUAGAGUGCGACUUCGGGAAAAGCUGUACAGUGUACAGUGUCUGACUUCAAAUCCACAAGCAAAAAUGUUAAGCCCAUCGCAACCUAUCGUGAGAAAUUUGAUAGCUGUGCGAACUGUACAAUUAUACACAGCAUCGGAAUUUUAAUUAUGUACAGUGUAAACUUCUGGACUGGAUUUAAGUGCUAUGAAGUGGGCGCAGUUGUGUUCACAAGAGACGAAAACGAAAGAAUGGAGAGAGCAAAUCUAAAUUCCGUACUGAAGAAACAUUGUAAAAUGUACAUAUAUGAAGCUCCUUACAGCGUACAAGAUCGACAAGAAUCUCUGAACUGUACACGAUGAAAGUAAUGUUUACGCACUACAUACUGAAAAUACUUAAGUCUACAUUGUAAAAAGUCCUGAAUAGCGCAAAAUUAGUGAAUACUGUACAUGCUGAAAGUACAUUAGUGUACAAGGUCUACAAAACCCAUAAAAUGGUUUAAGUAGGAGAAGUUUACUGUACAUGUUGUAAGUUGUCCAGUGUACAAGGCCUGAAAGAUUUCUCCUGAACAGUGCCUGGUACAUGUUGUUAUAAUUGCCCAAUGGACAGCGUACAUGUUGAAAGUACUGCAGUUUACACUCUACUUUGUACAAGGCCUGCAGGGAACUCUGAACUUUUCUAAAUACGGGAUUAGAUUUAGAUUGUUUUUUUUUCGGGAAGUGUAAUAAUUGUGAUGUUAUUUAUGUUAUUAUAUCAGUGUAAGAAUGUUGUUGGUAUAGUAAUUUACAUGUAAACGCAUUUUAUGCAAAUCAUUAUUCAUUCAGAAUUGUUCUUAAAUAUCCAUGUUAACUUCACGUUUGAUGAUGAAAAUCUUUUCAGAUUAAUACGAUGAUUGGACCUCUACUUGUAUUUGAUUUUGAUCAAACCAUUGCAGAUCUUAAUACAGAUGUCGAGGUACAGAAGUUACAUCCUGAGGGGAAAAUACCAGAAACAUCAGAAAUUCACAAACUAUACGAUAAAACUGGUUGGACGGAUUAUAUGGGAGCUGUAUUCAAACUCCUUCAUUCCCAUAAUAUUAGUAAGGACCAGAUUUUGGAGUUGAUGGGGUCACUUCAGUUCACCCCGGGUAUGGUUGAGCUGUUGAAGACCAGUGUAGAGGAACACAAUGCUAAAAUUAUCAUAAUCUCAGAUUCAAAUUCAGUGUUUAUUGAGCAUAUUUUGGAGUAUAAUGGACUUAAGCAUUUGGGUUAAGCGCCAGCAACUUACCUGUGUCCGCUUGGGUCUCAGGGAACAUAUCGGGUUGAUGCUGUUUUUACCAACCCUGCUGAGUGGGGGGAGGAAGGGUUAACAAUCAAACCAUACCAUCACCAGGUCGAAUGUGAAUUGAGCAC
Molecule: RNA transcript, 3223 nt
Organism: Eurytemora carolleeae
Lineage: Eukaryota; Metazoa; Arthropoda; Copepoda; Calanoida; Temoridae
Gene name: pyridoxal phosphate phosphatase PHOSPHO2-like
Exons: 10
Source: RefSeq, a predicted model, not a curated record